GCAGAAGAGGAAGUCACGGCUAACUCUGUGCCAGCAGCCGCGGUAAUACAGAGGUGGCUAGCGUUGUUCGGAUUUACUUGGCGCAAAGGGUCCGCAGGCGGCCCCGCAUGUCGGAUGUGAAAGCUCACGGUUCAACCGUGGAACGGCAUUCGAAACUGUGGGGCUAGAGUCCGGGAGAGGAGAGGGGAAUUCUUGGUGUAGCGGUGAAAUGCGUAGAUAUCAAGAAGAACGCCGGUGGCGAAAGC
RNAcentral lists this ribosomal RNA (245 nucleotides) under uncultured bacterium. Its description in RNAcentral is "partial 16S ribosomal RNA". It matches the Rfam family "Bacterial small subunit ribosomal RNA", at positions 478 to 722 of the family's 1533-position model. The record is from RNAcentral.